UACGAAAUCUUGUAAAUAUGACACUGG
Molecule: unclassified non-coding RNA, 27 nt
Filed under: Mus musculus (house mouse)
Lineage: Eukaryota; Metazoa; Chordata; Mammalia; Rodentia; Muridae
Description: oocyte_clustered_small_RNA5209
Source: RNAcentral